Molecule: ribosomal RNA, 468 nt
Filed under: uncultured bacterium
Lineage: Bacteria
Description: partial 16S ribosomal RNA
Rfam family: Bacterial small subunit ribosomal RNA
Source: RNAcentral
GACGAACGCUGGCGGCGUGCUUAACACAUGCAAGUCGAACGGAAAGGCCCUGCUUUUGUGGGGUGCUCGAGUGGCGAACGGGUGAGUAACACGUGAGUAACCUGCCCUUGACUUUGGGAUAACUUCAGGAAACUGGGGCUCAUACCGGAUAGGAGCUCCUGCUGCAUGGUGGGGGUUGGAAAGUUUCGGCGGUUGGGGGUGGACUCGCGGCUUAUCAGCUUGUUGGUGGGGUAGUGGCUUACCAAGGCUUUGACGGGUAGCGGGCCUGAGAGGGUGACCGGCCACAUUGGGACUGAGAUACGGCCCAGACUCCUACGGGAGGCAGCAGUGGGGAAUAUUACACAAUGGGCGGAAGCCUGAUGCAGCAACGCCGCGUGCGGGAUGACGGCCUUCGGGUUGUAAACCGCUUUCGCCUGUGACGAAGCGUGAGUGACGGUAAUGGGUAAAGAAGCACCGGCUAACUACGUG